Long non-coding RNA from Canis lupus familiaris (dog), 1792 nucleotides. RefSeq lists it as uncharacterized. The record is from RefSeq and is a predicted model, not a curated record. Lineage: Eukaryota; Metazoa; Chordata; Mammalia; Carnivora; Canidae. The transcript has 3 exons.
GUAACUCACUUGUAAGCAAUGGAAUGUGACAGAAGGCUGAGUCAUAAAAGGUAUGCCUCCUCCACUCUGUCCCCCGGAACCCUCGCACAGGCCCUGAGCCACCAUGCUGUGGAAAGACCCAUGAGGUGGCCGUUUUGUAAGGAAGCCCAAACAGUCUCACACAGAAAGAGCUCCCGAAGGAGCAUGUGAAAACACUCAGAGACAGAAAGGGGUGGAGACACUGCUCCCAACCGUUCCAGAUGCCUGAGUUUCCAGCUCUCACCACCACCCGAUGACGAAUACGUGAGUGACCCCAAGACAAAACCACCCAGCUGAACUUUUCUUGAAUUCAUGACCCACAGAAACUGUGAGAGAAAAUAAAAUGACUGUUGUUGAAACCACUCGGUUUUGGGGUGAUUGGCUGCUCAGCAAUGGUAACCCUAAAUGGCAAGACAACAGGUUGGCAUCAGGGCCAGAUGUUUAGUAAUGGAGGCUCAAGGGAUGGUGCCGGGCUGUCUUCCCCAAAUAGCCACUCGCACAAUGGCACACCCUCCACCCAUUCUAGCAUAUGGGCCUCCUCCUUCCUGGCCACUUGAACUGGCUCCCCUGCUACUCAAGAAUGGGCAACUUACACCAUCUUCCCCAGCCUCCCUAUACCCCAAACUUAGGGUGAUGGAUUAUACACAUGAACCGGUAUAUAUAACAAUCACCCACAAUACCCUGGCCGCUCCCUGCCUCCACCCACAUUCUGGUCCAGUGGGUUUAGAUGGGAACCAGGUAUGACUGAUUGCAGGUGGACAAAUCCAUCCCAGGAAGAUCAGGAAGCAGAAUCGAAUGUACCACUUUUGCUUGAAUCCAAUCUUCAGAUGCCUGGCGGCUCUUCCCGCUCACAACAGGGAUCUUUUCCUGGAUUAAUUCUGAAUGCAUAAGCUUUAGGUCCCCCAGGACAAUGUUUUCUCUGGAAAAUUUUUGUUGGAUAAAGACCACUGCCUGGUGCUAAGUGGGCAGAGGCAUGAAAACCCAGAACUGAGAGCAUCCAACGGCUCUCCCAGGACAUCUGGGACAUCUUUGGCUGAAAGCUAGGGAAAUCGGGUCACCAACUGCUCUGCUGGCCUGCUCUAUAUGGACCCCUCCCCUUCCUGACCUUCACAUGUCUAGCCUGUCCCUGCUGGUCAUUGUGCGAUUUUUGGAUCCUGACUCCAUCAAAUUUAAGCUUGCUGAAGAUAAAGCCCUGGACUCUUUUCUCUGUAUCCCCCUGCAAACCAUCACGUUCACGGUGCUCAUGGAGCUGCCGAUCAGGCACCCAAACGAAUGACCUCUGAGGGAGCCUUCCGCAGAGAAAUAGAACAUGUCCUUCCAAAAGCAGAGGAUUUGUCUGUAAGAUGAAAGCCAGAGCUCUUCGUGGGAAGCUCUACCAAAGGCCAGAAGAGAUGGGGCAAUUCUGGUAGAAAUAAAAAGUGAUAAACUCACUUGGGGACGACAGAGCGGACAGAGACUUCACAGGACUAGCAGAUGGUCCCUAAAAGGUCGCUGUGGUCUUUCCCUUCUCAGUGGGGGGCAGCUGUGUCUCAGGCCCAAACCUGGAGACACCUUUGACUCCUCUCUCUUACCUUGUAUCAACUGCCACCAAAUCCUCAACUUCAAAGUGUAUCCAGAAUAUGAUCACUUCUUACACCCCCACUGCCACAAGCUCUGCUGGUGCCACCAGGUGUCCAGACUCUUAGAGUCAUGUCACCUGGUCUCCCAGGCACAGUCUGGUCUUCCUUAAAAACCUUGUCUGGACAUGAGAGACUCCUAACUCUGGGAAACGAAC